This 507-nucleotide ribosomal RNA is filed under the name uncultured Rikenellaceae bacterium. RNAcentral describes it as "bacterial SSU rRNA". It matches the Rfam family "Bacterial small subunit ribosomal RNA", at positions 903 to 1382 of the family's 1533-position model. The record is from RNAcentral. Lineage: Bacteria; Pseudomonadati; Bacteroidota; Bacteroidia; Bacteroidales; Rikenellaceae.
UGCGCCUUGCCAGCCCGCUCAGAAACUUAAAGGAAUUGACGGGGGCCCGCACAAGCGGAGGAACAUGUGGUUUAAUUCGAUGAUACGCGAGGAACCUUACCUGGGCUAGAACGCAAUCGGAAUCAGGCCGAAAGGUCUGCGCCAGCGAUGGCCGGUUGCGAGGUGCUGCAUGGUUGUCGUCAGCUCGUGCCGUGAGGUGUCGGGUUAAGUCCCAUAACGAGCGCAACCCCUACUGCUAGUUGCCAGCGGGUCAUGCCGGGGACUCUAGCGGAACUGCCAGCGUAAGCUGCGAGGAAGGUGGGGAUGACGUCAAAUCAGCACGGCCCUUACGUCCAGGGCUACACACGUGUUACAAUGGCCAGUACAGAGGGCAGCCACCCCGCGAGGGGGCGCUAAUCCUAAAAGCUGGUCCCAGUUCGGAUCGGAGUCUGCAACCCGACUCCGUGAAGCUGGAUUCGCUAGUAAUCGCGCAUCAGCCACGGCGCGGUGAAUACGUUCCCGGGCCUU